This 435-nucleotide ribosomal RNA is filed under the name uncultured bacterium. Its description in RNAcentral is "bacterial SSU rRNA". It matches the Rfam family "Bacterial small subunit ribosomal RNA", at positions 958 to 1393 of the family's 1533-position model. The record is from RNAcentral.
AACGCGAAGAACCUUACCUGGGUUUGACAUGCACUAGACAGCCUCAGAGAUGGGGUUUCCCUUGUGGUUGGUGUACAGGUGGUGCAUGGCUGUCGUCAGCUCGUGUCGUGAGAUGUUGGGUUAAGUCCCGCAACGAGCGCAACCCUUGCCCCAUGUUGCCAGCGGGUUAUGCCGGGGACUCGUGGGGGACUGCCGGGGCCAACUCGGAGGAAGGUGGGGAUGACGUCAAGUCAUCAUGCCCCUUAUGCCCAGGGCUUCACACAUGCUACAAUGGCUGGUACAGAGGGCUGCGAGAUCGUGAGGUUGAGCGAAUCCCUUAAAGCCGGUCUCAGUUCGGAUCGGGGUCUGCAACUCGACCCCGUGAAGUCGGAGUCGCUAGUAAUCGCAGAUCAGCAUUGCUGCGGUGAAUACGUUCCCGGGCCUUGUACACACCGA